RNAcentral lists this unclassified non-coding RNA (449 nucleotides) under Hevea brasiliensis (rubber tree). The record is from RNAcentral. Lineage: Eukaryota; Viridiplantae; Streptophyta; Magnoliopsida; Malpighiales; Euphorbiaceae.
CGCUGCUAUAACCUUUCACUUUUAAGUCCUCAAACACAUCCAAGGCCAACAUAAUCCUUUCCUUCUUCCCAACCACAAAUGAGAAGAAUUUGGAAAUAUCAUCAAUUCCCAACUUAUCCAUCUCCUCAAGCAGCUUGCAAAAAUCAUCCAUCCUUUUCAUCUCCGCAUAAGACACCAACAUGGGAUUCACUGUCUUAAAGUCUGGCUCAAGACCCUCUUGAUCCAAAACUUGAAAAAGAUUAUGAGCCUUAUCUACCCGCUUCACAUUACAGAGACCUUCAAUAAGUGAAUUAUAAAUUCUCAAAUCAGCCCUAUAGCCAGAAUCAACCAAAUCCUUGAACAAAUCACAAGCUGAUCCAACCUUUCCAUUCUCCACGAAUGCCUCAAUCAGUAUUCCAUAAAUCGCUCUAUCAAUCAAAAUUCCCUUCUCCUUCAUCUCCUUAAACAAC